RNAcentral lists this transfer-messenger RNA (342 nucleotides) under bovine gut metagenome. It matches the Rfam family "transfer-messenger RNA". Rfam says of the family: Bacterial tmRNA, also known as 10Sa RNA or SsrA, is named for its dual tRNA and mRNA-like properties. Its role is to liberate the mRNA from a stalled ribosome. The record is from RNAcentral.
GGGGUAGUAAAGGUUUCGACGGGGAUUUUGAAGCUGGAGAAGCUAUCCGCAGGCGGAUGCGUCAAAUCGCAAAAUUAAAUAUAAACGCUAACGAUAACGAAGUAGCGCUUGCUGCCUGAGUGCAGCUGUCUGACCUGAAGCACUCACACUUCGGGACCCAGACAUCGAUCCUGUGAGAAACGACACAUGCAAAGCUUUGAGCAUGCGGGCGUACCAUGAAGCUACUGAAACCGGAAGGAUGUUCAUUUUCGUCCGGCGGAGGGAAUGAAAAAUAAUGAACUACGAUAGUAGAAGGACAGGGGAUAGAUUUUCGGACACGAGUUCGACUCUCGUCUACUCCAU